UUAAAGUAAAAACGAGGCAAUUUCAGACGAAUAAAAACAGAAUUUCUCUCACACAAACAAACGGUCAUUGAGGAUGACUAAUUAAAGGUAUAAAUCAUGUAGAAGAAAACUAGACCCAGGAUAAAAAGGGGAUACAAAGAGAACAGUGAGUCAUUGACAAAAAUGGCUAAUUUUAAAGGAACAUUAAUAUUAGAUAAAUAUUAGAUAAAUUAGAUAAAUUAGAUAAAUAUUCAAUAUAAUUAUAAUUGUAGUCAUAUAUAACAGGUAAUAUUUAAACAGUUUAUUAUUAAGUGAUAAUUUAUUGUCAAUCAUAUAUCAUUCUUCAUGACACCAUAUAAGAUAGAAGGAGUAUCCAUGUUAAAAUGUUCUAUAAUCCUUUUAUUAUUCCAAGAAAAGUAUGACUAAUGACUUUGUUCAAUCAUUAUAUCUCUCCAAAUUUUUAAAACUUUACUAAAAGUAGAAAGUACAAUGUAUUCUAAUCAAAUAAAAAGUAGAACAAAAAACUAAAAAAAAAAGUUUAGAGAACACAAUUUAAUUCGUGUUAGAAAGGGGAGAAAACACAGUAAAUGCUUUCUAGGUGCAAAAUAAACUGUUAGAAAGUAUUCGUCAGCAUGUAUAUUCAUAAAACUAUGAAAUUCAGUAACUGAAAGGACUCAGGGCCUGAAAGUCAGGGUAGAAACGAACAUAAUAGGCAUCAACUAACUGAAAAGAAUAAAAAAUACUGCUGAAGGUAUCUGAAUAUCAGGCAAAAUGCACAUUUAGGUUUUAAUCAUCAAAGUUGGGAGAGAACGUACAAAAUGUUAAAAGGGAUAAGCCUCAUUCAUUAGCUGACAGGAGCUAAUAAAAUACGCAAAAAUUACAAAGAGAAAUUGAUAAAUCCACAAGCAUCCCUCUCAGAUUUUAUAUUUGAAACAGUAAAGCAUUUGUAGGAUACUGAAAAUCUUAAAAUAAAAAAUCAACUGGAUUGACCUUGAUCUCAUAAGACCCUGCUCUGCUCAGCUCCCGUUUCCUUUGAGAGUAAUUUUCAACACCAUUGAUUUCCAAACCUUGUAUGUCUCAGGAGAAAAUGCCAAAGAUGAGCAGUAAGGUACCACGAAAUGGAUGGAUACACAAAUUAUCCUGCAGGCAACGGACCACCUGUAAUGCCUGAAGAGGAAAGUAACACAACACCUCACUUCUGUUGCUACUUUCCUUGUGAACUCUUAAAUCUGGAUAUGGCAGCUUCCAGUUUGGAAAGUGGCCCAGUUUGGGUAAGACACAAGAGAUGAUCAAGGCAUGCAAAACUUAUGACGAACUGCAAACUAUGUUAAACCUAGGAAAGGAAGAUCUGAAGUGGCAAGUAUCAGAAUAAGAGGGUGGACACGGGACCAAAUAUAGACUAUAAGUACCUUAUGUCUUUCUCCAUCUUGUAGCCACCAUCACUGGCUCAAUGAAGUUGGUAUCAUGUGCCUUCUGAGAAAAUAAUGGACAUUCUGGAGAGAAUAAGAUAAUUCUGUAUAUUCUAAAGUCUUCUGCCAAAGACCUUCAACAAACUCUAACAUUUCAAGCUUCCGGAUUAGAGGUGGACAGUGGUGAGACGCCAGCUUUGACAGGGUCAAAGAACAAAUCUCGGGGGCCACAGAAAGUGAGCAAAGCUACAGAGUUUAUUGAGAGAAAAGUAUAAAAUUCUCAAGAGUGAGCGGGGUCCGACUGGGUUGCCGCAAGGAUUUUUGUCCCCGACUUUUUAUUGAGACCUUAUCAGAAAGUUUGUGAGGCUCCAUGCAUGGCACCUAGCUCAGCUGCAAGAAGAUGAAGCAUGGUGUUUGGUCAGAUAUAAACACGAAAGAGACAUAAACAUCGUUUUAUUGACAUCUGGUGGUCUGAUUCCCUUAGGAGCAUUGAAAGAAUCCACAAAAUAGUAGGUUAGCUCUACCUCUGCCUUCUGGAAGGACUUUGGGUACUUACAAGAAUUUAUGCUAGCUGGAUCAUGGUGAGGGGCUGAUUGGAGGAAACACACAGAGGUAACUAUGGAGCAGGAAAUCUCAAAGAGCUUCAGAAUAAGAACAGAACUCAUUUCUAAUCCUCACUUGACUGUCAUUCAAGGAGGUACCAGAUGAUGUUCUAUCUCUCUUCUACCAUGAUGGGGACCAUCAGAAAUUAGGCUGCAAAGUGAUCUCCAUGGAGCACUCAGAUUAUUCUAACACUGGAUACUGGAAUGUGAAGUUGGUGCCAUAAAAGAUACCCAUUGAUAAGGUUGCAAUGAACUUUUUAUGAAGAACCAUGGGACUCUAAAGCCUAGUAAGCAGGCAACAAACAUUUAUUGAUCAACUAACAGAAACCAUACUAACCUGUAAAGAUGUGACCUCCCCUUUAAAGGAGCUUACAUAUUAAUAUGGAUUAUGAACCAGCUGGUCAUCUCCUGGGUCGUAAUCAGAAGACAGUAGAGCCAAGCAAUAAUAGCGACUAAUAUUAACUGAGUAUUAUUUGCCAAGGGUCCUGCUAAACACAUGCAUUUUUUUUAUUUCUAUUAAGCACCCCCAUCACAGAUAAGUAAACUGGGGACUUGAGAAGUGACUUGUCCAAAUAGUUAAUACACACCAGAACUGGGACUCAAACAUGUUUUUUUAUUACUCCAGAAUGAGCAUUGCUAACCAUUUUGUGUCAUCACAGCCCAAAAGUAGCAAAGAGUUUGUGAAAAAUAUCCUUCUGUGAUAAAUGUAAAUAACAUAUAAACUACAAUAAUGAC
Felis catus (domestic cat) is the source of this 2725-nucleotide long non-coding RNA. RefSeq lists it as uncharacterized. The transcript has 4 exons. The record is from RefSeq and is a predicted model, not a curated record. Lineage: Eukaryota; Metazoa; Chordata; Mammalia; Carnivora; Felidae.